UCCCAGCUCCCGGCUCAGAGCGAGCUCUUCCCGGGCAGGCCGGGCCGCGGGGACGCGUUGGGCAAAAGCGGCCCCGGGCAGGAGGCGGUAAUAAGGCCUCCGGAGGAAGGGACCCAGGGGAGCCGAGUCCCGGAGGCCGGAGGGCAGUGCCCAGGGGUCCUGCAGGCUCUGACGCAAGGAGGGCCGAGUGACCUCCACCGGGAGCGUGGGAGGGCGAGGCCCCGGGAAACCGCAGGGAAUGUGGGGGCGCCAGGAGCCCAAGGAGCAGGGAGGCGCGGGCGUGGGGAGGAGAGUGGAAGGAGGGGGGAAGAGAAGCUCAUCAAACAGCCGGAGGUGGGGGGCGGCGGGAGGCGACGGAGACCGGGAGGGGAGCGCAGGAGCGAGCGGGAACCCUGAGGGAGGCGGCGGCGAGAGGGAGCGGGUAGGAGGAAUACCCGGUGCGGAGCGGCCCGAGGGAGCGCGCGAGCACCGACUCCACAUGUAACUGAGAGAACAUGUGCUGUUUGUCUCACUGUGCUUGGCUUAUUUCACUGAACAUGCCGACCUCCAGUUCCACCCUUGUUAUUUACAGAGAAAAGGAAAUACAGAUAAAAAGAUCUUCCAUUCGUUGGUUCACUCCCCAAGUGGCUGCAAUGGCUGGAGCUAAGCUGAUCCGAAGCUAGGAGCCAGGAGCUUCUUC
This is a long non-coding RNA of Ochotona princeps (American pika), 679 nucleotides long. RefSeq lists it as uncharacterized. The record is from RefSeq and is a predicted model, not a curated record. NCBI's taxonomy places the organism in Eukaryota, Metazoa, Chordata, Mammalia, Lagomorpha, Ochotonidae. The transcript is spliced from 3 exons.